Molecule: ribosomal RNA, 480 nt
Filed under: uncultured bacterium
Lineage: Bacteria
Description: partial 16S ribosomal RNA
Rfam family: Bacterial small subunit ribosomal RNA
Source: RNAcentral
GACGAACGCUGGCGGCGUGCUUAACACAUGCAAGUCGAGCGGAAAGGCCCUUUCGGGGGUACUCGAGCGGCGAACGGGUGAGUAACACGUGAGUAAUCUGCCCCUGGCUUUGGGAUAGCCACCGGAAACGGGGAUUAAUACCGGAUACGACCACUUCUCGCAUGGGAUGGUGGUGGAAAGUUUUUCGGCCCGGGAUGUGCUCGCGGCCUAUCAGCUUGAUGGUGAGGUAAUGGCUCACCAUGGCUUCGACGGGUAGCCGGCCUGAGAGGGUGACUGGUCACACUGGGACUGAGACACGGCCCAGACUCCUACGGGAGGCAGCAGUGGGGAAUAUUGGACAAUGGGCGGAAGCCUGAUCCAGCAACGCCGCGUGAGGGAUGACGGCCUUCGGGUUGUAAACCUCUUUCAGCAGGGACGAAGCGCAAGUGACGGUACCUGCAGAAGAAGCACCGGCCAACUACGUGCCAGCCGCCGCCGUAA